Molecule: ribosomal RNA, 86 nt
Filed under: Allomyces macrogynus ATCC 38327
Lineage: Eukaryota; Fungi; Blastocladiomycota; Blastocladiomycetes; Blastocladiales; Blastocladiaceae
Source: RNAcentral
AGCUACGGCCAUACACACCUGAAAACUCCGCAUCCCGUCCGAUCUGCGAAGAUAACCAGGUGCUGGCCCGGUCAGUACUGUCGUNN